GGAAUAUUGCGCAAUGGGGGCAACCCUGACGCAGCAACGCCGCGUGAGUGAGGAAGGUUUUCGGACCGUAAAGCUCUGUCGAGCGGGAAGAAAUGCAUGGUGGCUAAUAUCCAUCAUGCUUGACGGUACCGCUAAAGGAAGCACCGGCUAACUCCGUGCCAGCAGCCGCGGUAAUACGGGGGGUGCGAGCGUUGUUCGGAAUUAUUGGGCGUAAAGAGCGUGUAGGCGGCCGAAUAAGUCAGAUGUGAAAUCCCUGGGCUUAACCCAGGACGUGCAUUUGAAACUAUUCGGCUGGAGUAGGGGAGAGGAAAGUGGAAUUCCUGGUGUAGAGGUGAAAUUCGUAGAUAUCAGGAGGAACACCGGUGGCGAAGGCGACUUUCUGGCCCUAUACUGACGCUGAGACGCGAGAGCGUGGGUAGCAAACAG
Molecule: ribosomal RNA, 426 nt
Filed under: uncultured bacterium
Lineage: Bacteria
Description: bacterial SSU rRNA
Rfam family: Bacterial small subunit ribosomal RNA
Source: RNAcentral